RNAcentral lists this long non-coding RNA (268 nucleotides) under Helianthus annuus (common sunflower). RNAcentral's name for it is "sRNA HanXRQr2_Chr06g0274271". The record is from RNAcentral. Lineage: Eukaryota; Viridiplantae; Streptophyta; Magnoliopsida; Asterales; Asteraceae.
AUGUUAUGCAACAGAGAAUGUGAAGUUCAAAAAAAUGAGGAUCCUUCACAACUUCACUAGAGGAGAUAGUUGCAGCCUCUAGAACAGCAUCUGAAGCUACGGUCAAAGUUGCAAUGGCUGCAGCUCUGAAGAAGGCAGUAAUAGUGAGUGACCAAAGUUGUCCGCUACAAAGAAAGCGUUAAGAAAGUAUAGAAGAAACUACAUCUUCAAUUUUAGUUGUCGUGGACUCUGGUUGUGGUUAAUUGUCAUCAGUGGAUUGUUUUGCUAG